GAAACUUCAUCAGACUGCAGCCUUCGCUUCACUUCUCACUUUAUUGCUUCACUUAUAAAUUCAGCGCGUUCUGCGUGUUAAUGUGUGGAAGCAGCAGCAGAACGAGUUGCGUUAUCAGUGGGAAAUCUGACUUGAUUUUGCAGAGAGAAAUCCUGCAGCAGCUGACGCCAACUCAUCAGUGAGAAGAUCAGCAGCAAACCGCCAACACGAGUCAAACAGGCCGAGAGAGAAGGAUCCUGCAGCAGCUGCCACCUACACACCAGUGAGACAAACGGCAGCUAAUGAGACAAAAGAGGCGAGAGAGAGCGAUCCAGCUGCAGUUUAUUCCUUAUUGCACGGAACAACUGACAUCAGUUAUGGAGAAAUCAGCAUCAGGACAAAGAGCAGGCACAGAG
Archocentrus centrarchus (flier cichlid) is the source of this 395-nucleotide long non-coding RNA. RefSeq lists it as uncharacterized. The record is from RefSeq and is a predicted model, not a curated record. Lineage: Eukaryota; Metazoa; Chordata; Actinopteri; Cichliformes; Cichlidae. The transcript is spliced from 3 exons.